GUUUGUUUGCUUUUCUGAAGGGCCAUCUCCUGGCCCAGUGAUUGAGAAGCCCAAUUGGAUGAACUCUUAAGGAGAAGAAUUUGGGGCAACUUAGAAUAUCAUGUCUCCACCCAGAGCCAGAGGAGCAACGCUGAUUCUCCUCUGUCUGGCACUACCAGGGAAACUGUUGGAGACUGGGUUUCAUCCUCAACAAUCUGCAGGCCUGCUAAUGUCUGCCCAGCUACCUAACAGUUUGUAUGUGAAUUGCCUCUAGGAUUCUUUUUUUCCAGUUCUCAUUUUUAACAUCUCAGGACUCAUUAAAGUGACGUUUUUCUUAA
Molecule: long non-coding RNA, 317 nt
Filed under: Rattus norvegicus (Norway rat)
Lineage: Eukaryota; Metazoa; Chordata; Mammalia; Rodentia; Muridae
Description: long non-coding RNA NONRATT029894
Source: RNAcentral